RNAcentral lists this non-coding RNA (24 nucleotides) under Arabidopsis thaliana (thale cress). The record is from RNAcentral. Lineage: Eukaryota; Viridiplantae; Streptophyta; Magnoliopsida; Brassicales; Brassicaceae.
AGCGCGUGGAGCAACCAAAAAAGU